CAUGCAAGUCGAGCGAGAAAGGGCUUCGGCCCCGGUAAAGCGGCGCACGGGUGAGUAACACGUAGGUAAUCUGCCUCCGGGUGGUGGAUAACCUUCCGAAAGGAGGGCUAAUACAGCAUAAGACCACGCGUUCGAAAGGGCGUGAGGUCAAAGCCGGCCUCUUCAAGAAAGCUGGCGCCUGGAGACGAGCCUGCGGCCCAUCAGCUAGUUGGUAGGGUAAUGGCCUACCAAGGCGAAGACGGGUAGCUGGUCUGAGAGGAUGAUCAGCCACACUGGAACUGAGACACGGUCCAGACUCCUACGGGAGGCAGCAGUGGGGAAUCUUGCGCAAUGGGCGAAAGCCUGACGCAGCGGCGCCGCGUGAGUGAUGAAGGCCUUCGGGUUGUAAAGCUCUGUGGAGGGGGACGAAUAAGGGCCGUCGAAUAGACGGCCCGAUGACGGUACCCCUUUAGCAAGCACCGGCUAACUCUGUGCCAGCAGCCGCGGUAAGACAGAGGGUGCAAACGUUGUUCGGAAUUACUGGGCGUAAAGCGCGUGUAGGCGGCUCGGAAAGUCGGGUGUGAAAGCCCUGGGCUCAACCUAGGAAGUGCACUCGAAACUUCCGAGCUGGAGUUCUGGAGAGGAAAGCGGAAUUCUCGGUGUAGAGGUGAAAUUCGUAGAUAUCGAGAGGAACACCGGUGGCGA
This 684-nucleotide ribosomal RNA is filed under the name uncultured bacterium. RNAcentral's name for it is "bacterial SSU rRNA". It matches the Rfam family "Bacterial small subunit ribosomal RNA", at positions 54 to 718 of the family's 1533-position model. The record is from RNAcentral.